AUGGCGCUGACCCAGAAGGCGGAGGCUCUUCGACCAGCUCUAGAACGCAUCCUGGUUGAGUGGAGUCAAUUGGAGACAGAUUUGAGCGAAGUCUCCCUCUACACCACCAGGCUGCGCUGUGUCCUGCAGCAGCUGCUGCACACACCUGCAUUCUCACCCAAGCAAGUCCAGAAGCAGUUGGAGGAGCUUAAGCAACUGCAGGAGGGUGCUGGGAAAGGGGUCAAGCUGUGUGUAGCAGUGGACCAAUCAUAUCAGGCUCUGGAAGGAAAAGUCAAUGACGUCACAGCCAGGUUACUCAAAGAGCGGAUUGAAGGAGAGCAAAGAAGGUCAGCAGCGGGGAUAAUGUUUAGCAGAAUAUUUGUAGGGAAAUAAAAUGUUAAUUGAACUCCACAAUGGUGUUAAGAAGGAGAAGUUACAGGUUCUUUAAAAUCCAACAUAGUCAUAGCUGCAACUUUUUAACUACUUUUUAGAGAGCUGAAUCCAGAGAAUCUC
RNAcentral lists this long non-coding RNA (492 nucleotides) under Gadus morhua (Atlantic cod). RNAcentral's name for it is "lncRNA (ENSGMOG00000035966.1)". The record is from RNAcentral. Lineage: Eukaryota; Metazoa; Chordata; Actinopteri; Gadiformes; Gadidae.